UUAAGCGACUAAGCGUACACGGUGGAUGCCCUGGCAGUCAGAGGCGAUGAAGGACGUGCUAAUCUGCGAAAAGCGUCGGUAAGGUGAUAUGAACCGUUACAGCCGGCGAUGUCCGAAUGGGGAAACCCAGUGCAAUUCGUUGCACUAUCGUUAACUGAAUACAUAGGUUAACGAGGCGAACCGGGGGAACUGAAACAUCUAAGUACCCCGAGGAAAAGAAAUCAACCGAGAUUCCCCCAGUAGCGGCGAGCGAACGGGGAGCAGCCCAGAGUCUGAAUCAGCUUGUGUGUUAGUGGAACGGUCUGGAAAGUCCGACGGUACAGGGUGAUAGUCCCGUACACCAAAAUGCACAGGUUGUGAACUCGAAGAGUAGGGCGGGACACGUGGUAUCCCUGUCUGAAUAUGGGGGGACCAUCCUCCAAGGCUAAAUACUCCUGACUGACCGAUAGUGAACCAGUACCGUGAGGGAAAGGCGAAAAGAACCCCGGCGAGGGGAGUGAAAAAGAACCUGAAACCGUGUACGUACAAGCAGUGGGAGCACCUUCGGGUGUGACUGCGUACCUUUUGUAUAAUGGGUCAGCGACUUAUAUUCUGUAGCAAGGUUAACCGUAUAGGGGAGCCGCAGGGAAACCGAGUCUUAACUGGGCGUUAAGUUGCAGGGUAUAGACCCGAAACCCGGUGAUCUAGCCAUGGGCAGGUUGAAGGUUGGGUAACACUAACUGGAGGACCGAACCGACUAAUGUUGAAAAAUUAGCGGAUGACUUGUGGCUGGGGGUGAAAGGCCAAUCAAACCGGGAGAUAGCUGGUUCUCCCCGAAAGCUAUUUAGGUAGCGCCUCGUGAACUCAUCUUCGGGGGUAGAGCACUGUUUCGGCUAGGGGGUCAUCCCGACUUACCAACCCGAUGCAAACUACGAAUACCGAAGAAUGUUAUCACGGGAGACACACGGCGGGUGCUAACGUCCGUCGUGAAGAGGGAAACAACCCAGACCGCCAGCUAAGGUCCCAAAGUCAUGGUUAAGUGGGAAACGAUGUGGGAAGGCACAGACAGCCAGGAUGUUGGCUUAGAAGCAGCCAUCAUUUAAAGAAAGCGUAAUAGCUCACUGGUCGAGUCGGCCUGCGCGGAAGAUGUAACGGGGCUAAACCAUGCACCGAAGCUGCGGCAGCGACACUAUGUGUUGUUGGGUAGGGGAGCGUUCUGUAAGCCUGCGAAGGUGUGCUGUGAGGCAUGCUGGAGGUAUCAGAAGUGCGAAUGCUGACAUAAGUAACGAUAAAGCGGGUGAAAAGCCCGCUCGCCGGAAGACCAAGGGUUCCUGUCCAACGUUAAUCGGGCAGGGUGAGUCGACCCCUAAGGCGAGGCCGAAAGGCGUAGUCGAUGGGAAACAGGUUAAUAUUCCUGUACUUGGUGUUACUGCGAAGGGGGGACGGAGAAGGCUAUGUUAGCCGGGCGACGGUUGUCCCGGUUUAAGCAUGUAGGCUGGUUAUCCAGGCAAAUCCGGAUAAUCAAGGCUGAGGUGUGAUGACGAGGCACUACGGUGCUGAAGUAACAAAUGCCCUGCUUCCAGGAAAAGCCUCUAAGCAUCAGGUAACAUCAAAUCGUACCCCAAACCGACACAGGUGGUCAGGUAGAGAAUACCAAGGCGCUUGAGAGAACUCGGGUGAAGGAACUAGGCAAAAUGGUGCCGUAACUUCGGGAGAAGGCACGCUGGUGUGUAGGUGAAGUCCCUGCGGAUGGAGCUGAGACCAGUCGAAGAUACCAGCUGGCUGCAACUGUUUAUUAAAAACACAGCACUGUGCAAACACGAAAGUGGACGUAUACGGUGUGACGCCUGCCCGGUGCCGGAAGGUUAAUUGAUGGGGUUAUCCGUAAGGAGAAGCUCUUGAUCGAAGCCCCGGUAAACGGCGGCCGUAACUAUAACGGUCCUAAGGUAGCGAAAUUCCUUGUCGGGUAAGUUCCGACCUGCACGAAUGGCGUAAUGAUGGCCAGGCUGUCUCCACCCGAGACUCAGUGAAAUUGAACUCGCUGUGAAGAUGCAGUGUACCCGCGGCAAGACGGAAAGACCCCGUGAACCUUUACUAUAGCUUGACACUGAACAUUGAGCCUUGAUGUGUAGGAUAGGUGGGAGGCUUUGAAGCGUGGACGCCAGUCUGCGUGGAGCCAACCUUGAAAUACCACCCUUUAAUGUUUGAUGUUCUAACGUUGGCCCCUGACCGGGGUUGCGGACAGUGUCUGGUGGGUAGUUUGACUGGGGCGGUCUCCUCCCAAAGCGUAACGGAGGAGCACGAAGGUUAGCUAAUCCUGGUCGGACAUCAGGAGGUUAGUGCAAUGGCAUAAGCUAGCUUGACUGCGAGCGUGACGGCGCGAGCAGGUGCGAAAGCAGGUCAUAGUGAUCCGGUGGUUCUGAAUGGAAGGGCCAUCGCUCAACGGAUAAAAGGUACUCCGGGGAUAACAGGCUGAUACCGCCCAAGAGUUCAUAUCGACGGCGGUGUUUGGCACCUCGAUGUCGGCUCAUCACAUCCUGGGGCUGAAGUAGGUCCCAAGGGUAUGGCUGUUCGCCAUUUAAAGUGGUACGCGAGCUGGGUUUAGAACGUCGUGAGACAGUUCGGUCCCUAUGUUGUGGUCAAAUUUAAAUGGACACUUUGAUCGGGUGUUUUCCCCCCGACAAGGAACAUGAAGAGAUGACCGACAAGACAACCGACACAACCAAGAAUCGCCGAACCUUUGAUCCAGCGUUCAAGUUACAGGUGGCGCGCAUGGUGCGCGAGCAAGGCGUCAGCGUCAGCCAAGUCUGCCGCGAAAUGAAGCUGACCGAAAGUGUGGUCCGACGCUGGGUACACCAACUGGAUGACGAGUCAGCCGGCAGGCCGGGGAUUGGUAAACCGUUAACGGCUGAGCAG
RNAcentral lists this ribosomal RNA (2895 nucleotides) under Klebsiella pneumoniae. RNAcentral's name for it is "bacterial LSU rRNA". It matches the Rfam family "Bacterial large subunit ribosomal RNA". Lineage: Bacteria; Pseudomonadati; Pseudomonadota; Gammaproteobacteria; Enterobacterales; Enterobacteriaceae. The record is from RNAcentral.